RNAcentral lists this long non-coding RNA (1212 nucleotides) under Vigna radiata. RNAcentral describes it as "long non-coding RNA (VRAD_LNC009216)". The record is from RNAcentral. Lineage: Eukaryota; Viridiplantae; Streptophyta; Magnoliopsida; Fabales; Fabaceae.
GAGCAACCCAAAACCCUUGGAGGAAAAUGGGGUCUCUAAUGGCUUCUUCUGCCACUAUCACUCUUGCAUUUGCCAUAAUCCUUUUCAGCCUCCCAUCUGAAAUCUCAGCCAACCACUACUCCUACUCCUCUCCUCCACCUCCCAAGAAACCUUACCACUACCCUUCUCCUCCUCCACCGUCUCCUUCACCACCACCACCACCCUACCACUACCCAUCUCCACCACCACCACCAAAGAAGCCAUACAAGUACUCUUCACCACCCCCUCCAGUUCCCACAUACCCUCAUCCACACCCCCACCCCCACCCUCACCCUCAUCCUCACCCUCACCCACACCCACACCCAGUCUACCACUCCCCACCACCUCCACCACCAAAGAAGCCAUACAAGUACCCAUCUCCACCACCACCAGUUCACAAGCCAUACCCUCACCCACACCCAGUCUACCACUCUCCUCCACCUCCUCCCAAGAAGCCAUACAAAUACCCUUCCCCUCCUCCACCAGUGCACAAACACCCUUACCCUCACCCACACCCACACCCAGUCUACCACUCCCCUCCUCCUCCCGUUCACACCUACCCUCCCCAUGUCCCCACCCCAGUUUACCACUCUCCUCCACCAUCACCUCACAAGAAGCCUUACAAGUACAAGUCUCCUCCUCCUCCUCCGGUCUACUCUCCACCUCCACCCCACUACUACUACAAAUCCCCUCCUCCUCCUUACCACUACUAGAUACUUCACACUACAUCGUAAUAACAUCUGAAACUUUUUCUUUCUCUUUUUUAUGCUUCACUAUCAAAUAUCAUCACUAUGUUACGUCUUUUCUGUAGGAUCUUAAACGUCAAAGCCAUGGACGGGAAGCUGCACUUCUUACCUGCAGAUUCACUGAGAAUUAUAAACGUUUAUCAAUUGUUUAGAGAACCGUGUUUACUUCCAUAGUCAUUAUGUUGUUCUUCUAUUAUUAGACAUUUGUAAGGCAUGUGUUCUACAUGUAUGUGUCUGCACUUGUCUGAAUCUUCUGUAAUUUUCAAAGUCUGCUUUAUCAACCUCACCAAAUAAAUUAUUCCUUCCCAUGGGAUUCACUUUUUCCCUGUUCCUCUGCCUUUUUAUACUCCUCCUAAUAUUAAUAUUUUACGUUUAUAAUUAAUUAUCGUUUACCAGUGUUGUAUUUGAUGCUAUAUUCGGAAGCAUAUUUUAAUGGAAAAUUGAACUU